UCUGCUCUUAUACUCGGUGUUAAAACUCGCUCACUUCUUCUUUUGGCAGAGGAGUCUGAGUGCUUCAUUUGCAGAGAUGUUGGCCUGGUGGGUGAAGAUCCUCUGCGAACCUUCUGCGACUGUAAGAACCUUGUAGCUCACCACAGCUGUCUGCUAACCUGGAUAAAAAAGGGUCUUGGACGAGAGGAGAGACUCAGAUGUAGCGUUUGCAAUGCCGAGUUUUACGCCUUGCAGCACCAAGUGGCCUCUGCCAACCUCCAUAAUGGCUUCCAGACUCUCCCACCUGACCAUGACAGACUUACAGGCGAAAGAGAAGGAGAUUCCUGAGGGUAUACAAGUCUGAAAUGUUCAAAUUCAGUUUGAGAAAAGGAGGAACGUCCACCGUGUAAGUCGGUGGGUUUCAGUGGUGGGGUAUAUUUCAGGUUCCAUUUCUAAGCUCGGCCCCUAAGAUGGCCCACAUUGAUUUCCUUCACUUCUGCUCUUUGCUUGGUCUCAGUGCUUUCAUUAAACCCUAAUCCGUCUCAUUUGCUAUGCUUCCAGGAGACAUGGAACUAAAAGAGGGAGGUGGAUAAUGAAUAGGAAAGAAAAUGUGAAGUUGCAUAUGUUUUUUUCCCCUGCUCUUUAAAUGACCCUUGUCUUCACAUUCAUGAUGAGGCUGUUUUAAUAGUCUUCAUAAGAGGAAUUUUAAAUCACAAAACUGCUAACCUGCAGGUUAAUAAAAAUGGUAAUUUGGUAAUCUUGUAUCUGAUUUAAUUGGAUUUCAAGAACCCCUUUAAAAUGUGUUUGCAUUCUGGAAAAUUUACAUGUGCCGUGUUAAAAGGGAACUUGAAUCUCCAGCUGUCAGGAUAAUGAAUUAGACAAUUUCAUCUCUAUAAUCUUCUGACAAUCUCCGCUUGUACUUUCCUGUCACAGUUAUCCAUUAAAGCAAUGAAUUACCUAAAUAUUUGAAAUGUUUUACAUGGUUUUGUUGCUUUGUAAUGUUGCUAGGGC
Molecule: long non-coding RNA, 990 nt
Filed under: Sinocyclocheilus grahami
Lineage: Eukaryota; Metazoa; Chordata; Actinopteri; Cypriniformes; Cyprinidae
Description: lncRNA (ENSSGRG00000048436.1)
Source: RNAcentral